Molecule: ribosomal RNA, 253 nt
Filed under: uncultured bacterium
Lineage: Bacteria
Description: partial 16S ribosomal RNA
Rfam family: Bacterial small subunit ribosomal RNA
Source: RNAcentral
UACGAAGGGGGCUAGCGUUGCUCGGAAUCACUGGGCGUAAAGGGCGCGUAGGCGGCCAUUCAAGUCAGAGGUGAAAGCCCAAGGCUCAACCUUGGAAUUGCCUUUGAUACUGUUUGGCUUGAGACCGGAAGAGGUAAGUGGAACUGCGAGUGUAGAGGUGAAAUUCGUAGAUAUUCGCAAGAACACCAGUGGCGAAGGCGGCUUACUGGUCCGGUUCUGACGCUGAGGCGCGAAAGUGUGGGGAGCGAACCGG